This 3181-nucleotide long non-coding RNA is filed under the name Sus scrofa (pig). Its description in RNAcentral is "lncRNA (ENSSSCG00015029203.1)". Lineage: Eukaryota; Metazoa; Chordata; Mammalia; Artiodactyla; Suidae. The record is from RNAcentral.
GGUCGCUUCAAAUCGAUUUUACUUGUCCUUUCUGUCUUUUCGGAUCAACGCCCUUCAAUGGGCACAGAGGUGCUCUUUCAACCAAAAACUUGUGCUACAUUUUCUGCCUGUAUUGGUGCUAAAUACAAUAAGCACUGGGCAGAUUUUUUUCUUUGCUCUCCAAAGCAAGAAAGCACCCUAAUUAAAUUGUUUUAUAUGGACAGUCAAGACAGACCAAUUAAGUAUGCAUUAGUAUAAAGAUAUAGUCUGUAGAUAAGGCGGUUUAGAAAAUCACGCGUGGGACAAAGGAGAGUGUCAUAGCGUUGGGGAGGGCUGCUAGGACCAGAGAGGUCGUUCACCUCUCUCCCUGGGUCCCAGGGGAAUUGGAGAAGCCUGGGCCUCAGGUGAGAGGGGAUCAGGCCCGCUAACAGGUGGGCAUCAGUAUUGGAGUCUUUCAGGCCCGCGCCCCCGGCCGGAGAGAGAUGGAGUUCAGGGGGUUAGUAUCCCCCACAUCCUUCUACCUGGAGGAGGUAGCAUCCCGUAUUGGUGGGGCACCUUAGGAGGGAGCAAGACCAUGCUGUGCCUUAUACCGUGUGGGGCCCGUUGCUUGAUGUCUGGGUCCAGGGCCCAGCCCUGAAAAUAAGGAAAAAGUGUGAGCCCAGGAGGGCCAGGGGGGAGCGGCCACGGCCACUGCCACUGCCUAGGCUGCAGCCCUCUGGCAGCCAAGAUCAGGGUUGGAGGCCCCCUUCCAACUCCUCCAAGCUGAGCGUUUUUUCGCUUUUAAGGAAACGGGAGUUCUCGGCGAGGAAAGUUCCCACCCGACGCCAUCCGGCCCGAGGGGCGUCGAGGACCAGCCACCGAAGUGGGGUAAAGACCGAGGGUCGGCGUAAAGGUAGCGAGGACAGUGGCUCCUCUUUCGCUACCACAGCUCUGGGUUUCUCCACUCCCCCCAUCCCCGCCCUCUGAGGUGUGGGCGGGCAGAGUGCAUCCCACCCCGAAGGCGACGACCCCCAGGGCAGGGACCUGGGCCUCCCCGCGUCGCGGCGCAGGGCUGUGAUAGGUGGUCCCUGGGCCGCGGGGGCGCGAGCGCAGCGCUCUGCAGCAGGAAGGGCUUGCGGGGCGCACAGGGCGCCCUUGGUACCGGGUCGAGAGGGGGCUGUAGGGGCGAGAAUUAGAGCCUGGGGAGGUGGCUGAAUGUCAAAAGUAAAAAGGUUGAAAAGCCAAUUUUCCCGGUGCGCUUUCGCCCCCCUUUGCUGGUUUCAGAGGCCGUAAAUCAGCAGCCAGCGGCGAGGGCGGGAGGAGCCCCCUCCGCGGGCUCGGCUCUGCCCCGCCCGGGCCAUGCGCACCUCCCGGUGGGCCCCGAAUCGAUCAGAAGCCUAGCUGAGGAUGUCACCGCACUAAAUAUUUACUGAUCACACACAAAUAGCCGGGGCUCGAACGAUUUUCCUCUGUGAGGAGAGCGCAGAGAGAAGGGUAAAUCAUUUUAUUAGUGUGGAUAAAGCCCAGAGCACACUCCGGGCUGGAGUGUUUUAAGAUGUGUCUUCAACGGGAUGAAAAGAGUUAGGGAAAUCGAUACCGAGUGAUUAGAAGCCCCUGGGGUGACGAAGGGGACCAGGACUUUCAGGGAUUUGGCAAGGCUGAGAGGCGGGUGCGAGCCUCGAGGGGAGCGGCCUGACCACCUCCUGGGAUCUCCCGGACGCAGGCCCGAGUGCCUCACUCCUCGACGGGAGACUCGAGACUCGAGGGCGCAGCCAGCCGCAGGGAGUCCGCCGCGGCCCGGCUUGGCGGGGCCGGCGCCGGGUGAGAGCUGCGCCGGCCGCCGCGGGACCGAGGGCUUGGGCGCCUCGGGCUCCAGGUCGCGAGUGGCAGUGGUCAUGUGGCUCGAGGAGGGGAAUCUCAGGCCCGGCGCAGGGAUGCUGGCAGGUUCCCCCACAGGGCGGGUUCUCCAGACAGCCUCCUGGAGAAACCGUGUGGCCCAAAUGGGUUGCAUUUCCCCCAUGCCGUGCCCCGCAGCAUCCCCGAACUUUCUCCUAGCUGAAUCUCUGCCCCGCAUCUCCCCUAGCGUUUCUAAAGAGGACUCAGCGGCCCAGCCCCGCCAGCUGCCUCUCCCUCCCACCCAGUGUCAAGGGCGGCCGCCGGGUGGCGGAACCGCUACGGACCGCAGGGCGAGUGGAUUCCAGGUUCGGGGCUCCUGGGCAGGUGGAAGUCUGAGGCCGAGGAGGAAGGCAGAAGCAGGGUGACACACACCAACGACGUCCUCAGGACGUCUCCAUCCUCUCCUGGGCAGGAAAUCAGCUUUGAGGGUCUCAAGCCACACUCUUAGCUAGGGAAUUCGUCUGUGGCCCCAAGGCUGGCUGCUGGAGCUUAAACGGUGGAGGCACAAAGGCUUGCGGGGCUCGCUGAAGUUAGAAAGGCUUUGGGGGCAGUUUGCAGGGAAGGAGAGCAAAAUCUUCUUCCCAAACUCAAGCAGCAAAGUCCUGGCGCAAAAAUGACUUUUCAGUUCUGGAAGCGGGAGGCUCGCUCGCUACCAGGAACCAACCUUGAGGUUUGUAACAGCUGCACAUAAUCAAGAAGGCACUAAUUUCGGGGGAAACGAGGGGGCGGAAGGUGAGAAAAAGGAAGAAUCUUUUUCGUUUUCUCCUUCCCUUUCUCGUUUUUGACCUUUUCCUAAAAAGAUCUGCUUUUCCUGAAGAAACUGAUAGCUUGCUUGCUUUCUUGCUUGCUUGCUUGCUUAUUUAUUUAUUUAUUUAUUUAUUUAUUUAUUUAUUUAUUUAUUUAUUUAUUUAUUUAUUUCCCCUCUCCCCAAAUUGCUCAAUUUCCUUGGCAGCUUGAAGAAUUCAGUUCAGGCUGCCCUACUUGUCUUCUCGGUGCAACAGGAAAUAUAAGUGCAGAUCCAAUUAACCGUUUUCCAGAAGGGAGUUUUUUUUUUUUUUUUUUUUAAUAUAUGAAUCCCAAAUGAAUUGGAGUGAUGUGUUCAGGCAUUCCUAACUUUUAUGAUUUCCUCCCUCCUUCCUUUACUAUCUGUCUUUGUGCCUCCAGGGCCAGUGAAGGAGCAGGGCAGAUUCUAGAUUGCUUUCAGAGUUUGCCUUCUCUGAUGAUGGAUUACCAUGUCAAUUUAAACGGCAUAGGAUUAAUUUGUUUCAAUGAUUUCUCUUUAGGCUGAAUGCCAGCCGUUUUUCUACCUCUCCCCUUGCUCUUCAGA